AGACACGUGAUUCCCCUAGUUCCCCUGAGCGCCUGCCCCUCCAGUCCCUGGGAACUCACCCUUGCAAGAGAGGCAGCUCCAGAUUAGAUUUAUACAAAAUGAUUGGCUUAGAGAUGGCAUAUGAGACUCAAGUGGACCCAUGAGAUUCAAGGCCAAGACUGGAGCUGGGACCACAGGGGAAGAAAAGCACUAUUUCUGCCAGGGUUGCUGAGUCGGCAAGAAGUGAGCCUGGAGCUGCCAGGGCCAUCCCGGGUACCUGGCGAGGAGACCGGAGCUAACACGGAGGGAAGCACUGAGACAGCAGGAGUGGAAGAGCGUCACAGCGGCGAGGUUUGAGCCCCUGGACGCGGCUGCGCCUGAAGCCACUUUUGGACUUUCCAGCUUCAUGCGCCAGUGAAUUCCCCACUUUGUGAAAGCUUACUUUCAGUUGAGCUUUUCUCGCUGGAAAGCAUCCAGGCUGCCACUAGAAGGUUAAGCAACUUGCCCAAAGCCUGAAAGGCAGCAAGCAGCAGACCUAGGGUUUAGAAGCUUCUAACCAACUGCAGUCAGACCAACAUUCUAUAUUGGGGUAUUCACUGAUUUCACCUCUUUUUACUCGUUUUCUCAUCACAAAAUGGCAUCACACCAGACUUUUAGGACUGUUGGAAAAUACAAAAUGCGAGAUCAGGACCCCCCUGGCAGUCAGUGGUUAAGACUCCACACUUCCUCUGCAGGGGGUGCAGGCUCAAACGCUGGUCAGAGAACUAAGAUGCUAUGUGCCACACAGCCAAAAAAACAAUUCUUUUUUUUUUUUUUUAAGAAAAAGCCAAAAUAAACUAUUUUUAAAAAAUAAAAUGCAACAUCACAGCUAGCAUGUCUGUAACCCAUGCUGAAGCUCUCUCUACACAUCCAGUUUCCGUGCUGCGGGCCUGGGUUUUGUCCCGAGUCAGUUAUCCCAUCUCAGGGAUGGAGAUAACUCAUCUCAGUUAUCCCAUCUCAGGGAUGUGUUUGGCUGUCACCAAAUCAGCCAACUGGUCCAGAUGCCCAAACCUCUUCAGGAGAGCAGCUGUGAAUCUCAGAGGGAAGGGCCGUGUCUCUUCUUGGCUGUGUAUCCUCACUGGCAGACAGAAGGAGUUGGGGGCCCGCAAGGAUUCUAGGGGUCCGAGUCUAUGAGGUAGAAAAAAGCCCUGUUGUCUUGAUUUCUGGAACCUUCCAAGGUCUGGUGGGCCCAUCUGGGAAUGACCUGUAGCUCAAGGAAGACAACACUAAAUCAGAUCGACUUUGUCUCUUUUCUUCAUGCAGUUUACAUGCAGUGGUAGACGAGAACACAGAAAAAUGUAUGAGAUAACACCACGUGGUAACAGUAGGGAGAAAAUAUGUCCUCAAAGGCGGAUUCGGGGCACUGUUUACUCAGGGGCAUUAGAAGGGGCCUCUCUGAGAAAGCGACAUCGCAUCGAAACUACUUUGCUCUCCCCCUGAAUCCCAAGCUCCUAACACUGGUCUACCUCCGAGAAAAAAAGACUGGGAUGGAUUUUUACCAGGAAACUUGCUGACACUGCUAAGUCAGGAGUCAAUGAUCUGCCCGAGGCUUGGUAAAUACCCAUCCUUC
Molecule: long non-coding RNA, 1588 nt
Organism: Bos taurus (domestic cattle)
Lineage: Eukaryota; Metazoa; Chordata; Mammalia; Artiodactyla; Bovidae
Source: Ensembl